CAGGCAAUGAGGUGGUUUUAAUCUAACGCGAAUGAGAUUGGAUGCAGUAAAGACAGGAGCAAAGUUCUUUCUCCCAUCCCUUCUCCUGGCAAGGAGAAGCUGUGCGUCACAUCCAUGUAGAGUGGGAAUAACAGGUUGAUCACUGUCUCAGCUGGAGCUUCUGUCCUUCUGGCACUGUGGCACCCAACCCUCACGCAGUGCUGGAGGUGAGGAUGCACAGCACAGAACACAGUGGACGAUCCCUCUCCUUGCCCAGUGGCAGCACUGGGCCUGGUGUCCCCCUGGGUACAGUUGGCCCUUUGGGUUCCAGGCACACUGCUGGCUCAGACUGAACGUGCAGCCUUGCUGCAGGGAAGCUUCUCAUUACCCGGUCUGUCCAUACAGCCAGGGCUGCCCCUUGACAGGUGCAGCAUCCAAUGCUUGCUCUCGUUACACUUCAUGCAGCUGGUGGUGGCCCUGCCCUUUGAUUUGUUAUGAACUCCCUGAGAGGCCUUCCUGCCCUCCUGGGAACCAUAAGCUCCUCCCAUUGGAGUGUUGUCAGCAAACUUAAUGUGUGCUCACAUCCCAUCUCUGAGCCAUCAAUGAAAACCUUGCAGAGAGCUGGCCCUAUUGUGGAACCCACCUGGCAGCUGCUACCAGCCUGCUCUGAUUCCAUUUGCUACGGCUGCCGUGACCACCACACAAGUAGCUGUGGUGCCACCUCUGCUGGGGUACCUCUGUCUCACUGGGGGGUCUCACCGUGCAUCUGCACAGGAUAGAGCAGGAUGCGUGCCCGUGGCUGUCCGAAGGGCUGAUUGCCCCAUCCCGCGCUGGGUCCAGCACCUUCAGAGUGGCAGAGGAUGGAGCCCCGCCUCCCCUCUCCCUUCAGUACAAAACUAAGGACAACCAGCUCACCUCCGUCGGUGCCAAAAGGUGAGAGAAGGGAGGGGGUGGUGCCAGCAGUGCUCACUGCUCUGUGAACCCCGAGCUCUCUGCUGCAGGUCUGGGUGACCCAGGGGAGACCUGGGGGUGAGAGGAAGACGGGGAGCAUCUGCCGCCGAGCCCCUUGGAGAGCUGAGCAUGGCAGAGCUGAGAUGAAAGUGUCCCGGGUUGGUGGUGUAAGGAAAGGAUCUGACAGCUUCGCAGGGCAUCACCAGGAGAUGCUUUGAUGUAGGCACAGAGGGGAGAUGUCUCGAAUGGUACCAGAUAACAGCUGCUCUCAGUGACUGUAAUGGGAAAUAAAAGGAG
This is a long non-coding RNA of Gallus gallus (chicken), 1227 nucleotides long. The record is from Ensembl. NCBI's taxonomy places the organism in Eukaryota, Metazoa, Chordata, Aves, Galliformes, Phasianidae.